RNAcentral lists this transfer RNA (70 nucleotides) under Aesalus sp. JL-2019. RNAcentral's name for it is "tRNA-Gln". The record is from RNAcentral. Lineage: Eukaryota; Metazoa; Arthropoda; Insecta; Coleoptera; Lucanidae.
UGUAAUUAAGUAUAUGGUGUACAAGAGUUUUUGAAUCUCUAGGAAGUAACAUUAAUGUUACUAUUUACAA